Long non-coding RNA from Nymphalis io (European peacock), 530 nucleotides. RefSeq lists it as uncharacterized. The record is from RefSeq and is a predicted model, not a curated record. The transcript is spliced from 3 exons. Lineage: Eukaryota; Metazoa; Arthropoda; Insecta; Lepidoptera; Nymphalidae.
AGCUGAAAUAACGUCGUAAAUUGCGAUGGAAUAGAUUCAUUGUUAUAAUAGCAGUUACUCGGUGUAUUUACACAACCGUUGAGAAAAUAUUGUACUACGAAAAAAAACAUUCUCAAAUAUAAAAUAAAGAUAGGAAUUGAAAAAUAACAAAUCUUUAUUUAUCUGUUACCAGAAAUCAAACUAGUUUAUUAAUUGUUACCGGUUCAUCAGCUAGAUUUAAUUAUACCAACAACAAAUGUUUAAAAGAUUAUAUAGUUCACGUAUAAAACAAAUACAUGUUUUAAGUAUUAUAACAUGGAAAUACCAGUAAAUAAAUUGGGUCUGUCUUUCUGUUAUCGAAUGGUUCUCUACAUAACCUAAAAUCUGCUGAACAAAAGAUAAUGUCAUGCUGCUUGCACUAGUAUCUUCCUUGCAUAUUAAAGUAAUUAGUUUUUGCUUACCAACGGCUUUAUGUGUUCUGCGAAGCACGGGCCUCGGAGGCGAAACGGAUGCCGCUCACUUGCUUUAACAUGUUCUUCUCAUAUCCGUGU